GACAUAGGGGGCAAGCGUUGUCCGGAAUCACUGGGCGUAAAGGGAGCGUAGGCGGAAGAUUAAGUUAAGUGUGAAAGCCUUGGGCUCAACCCCCGGACUGCAUUGGAAACUGUUGGCCUGGAGUACCGGAGGGGUAAGCGGAAUUCCUAGUGUAGCGGUGAAAUGCGCAGAUAUCAGGAGGAACACCGAUGGCGAAGGCAGCUCGCUGGGACGGUACUGACGCUGAGGCGCGAAAGCGUGGGGAGCAAACAGG
Molecule: ribosomal RNA, 253 nt
Filed under: uncultured bacterium
Lineage: Bacteria
Description: partial 16S ribosomal RNA
Rfam family: Bacterial small subunit ribosomal RNA
Source: RNAcentral